This 580-nucleotide ribosomal RNA is filed under the name Herbaspirillum sp. BvORHM042. RNAcentral describes it as "bacterial SSU rRNA". It matches the Rfam family "Bacterial small subunit ribosomal RNA", at positions 102 to 678 of the family's 1533-position model. Lineage: Bacteria; Pseudomonadati; Pseudomonadota; Betaproteobacteria; Burkholderiales; Oxalobacteraceae. The record is from RNAcentral.
ACGGGUGAGUAAUAUAUCGGAACGUGCCCUAGAGUGGGGGAUAACUAGUCGAAAGAUUAGCUAAUACCGCAUACGAUCUACGGAUGAAAGUGGGGGAUCGCAAGACCUCAUGCUCAUGGAGCGGCCGAUAUCUGAUUAGCUAGUUGGUGGGGUAAAAGCUCACCAAGGCGACGAUCAGUAGCUGGUCUGAGAGGACGACCAGCCACACUGGAACUGAGACACGGUCCAGACUCCUACGGGAGGCAGCAGUGGGGAAUUUUGGACAAUGGGCGCAAGCCUGAUCCAGCAAUGCCGCGUGAGUGAAGAAGGCCUUCGGGUUGUAAAGCUCUUUUGUCAGGGAAGAAACGGUCUUGGUUAAUACCUGGGGCUAAUGACGGUACCUGAAGAAUAAGCACCGGCUAACUACGUGCCAGCAGCCGCGGUAAUACGUAGGGUGCAAGCGUUAAUCGGAAUUACUGGGCGUAAAGCGUGCGCAGGCGGUUAUACAAGACAGAUGUGAAAUCCCCGGGCUCAACCUGGGAAUUGCAUUUGUGACUGUAUGGCUAGAGUGUGUCAGAGGGGGGUAGAAUUCCACGUGUAG